CAGGGAAUUUUGGGCAAUGGGCGAAAGCCUGACCCAGCGACGUCGCGUGGGGGAUGAAGGCCUUUGGGCUGUAAACCCCUUUUCCAAGGGAAGAGAAAGGACGGUACCUUGGGAAUAAGCUCCGGCUAACUACGUG
Molecule: ribosomal RNA, 136 nt
Filed under: uncultured bacterium
Lineage: Bacteria
Description: partial 16S rRNA
Rfam family: Bacterial small subunit ribosomal RNA
Source: RNAcentral